GAUGAAGAACGUAGUGAAAUGCGAUAAGUAAUGUGAAUUGCAGAAUCUCGUGAAUCAUCGAAUCUUUGAACGCACAUUGCGCCCUAUGGUAUUCCGUAGGGCAUGCCUGUCUGAGCGUCAACUCCCACCCUCUCAAGUCUUCUUUUUUGUUAAGGAGAUUUGGAUUACUUUGAGGAAGUAUCGUUUUUUUUUUAUAAUGCUACUCCUCAGAAAUUCAUAGGCAGUAUGGUCAAACCUGAACCAGGCGUAAUAAUUCUAUAAAAAUCGUCUAUGAAGGAAUGUCUGUAUUAGCCUUUAACCCCCCCUAAUUUAUUUUACUUGGGUGACCUCAGAUCAGGUAGGGAUACCCGCUGAACUUAAGCAUAUCAAUAAGCGGAGGA
This 380-nucleotide unclassified non-coding RNA is filed under the name soil metagenome. RNAcentral's name for it is "partial contains 5.8S ribosomal RNA, internal transcribed spacer 2, and large subunit ribosomal RNA". The stretch from base 1 to 120 matches the Rfam family "5.8S ribosomal RNA", at positions 35 to 154 of the family's 154-position model. The record is from RNAcentral.